GGUGUUGUAGCUCAGUGGUAGAGCACUUGCCUAGCAUGUGUGAGCCCUGGGAUUCAAUCCCUAAUACCA
RNAcentral lists this transfer RNA (69 nucleotides) under Ictidomys tridecemlineatus (thirteen-lined ground squirrel). RNAcentral describes it as "Spermophilus tridecemlineatus (thirteen-lined ground squirrel) tRNA". It matches the Rfam family "tRNA". Rfam says of the family: Transfer RNA (tRNA) molecules are approximately 80 nucleotides in length. Their secondary structure includes four short double-helical elements and three loops (D, anti-codon, and T loops). The record is from Rfam by way of RNAcentral. Lineage: Eukaryota; Metazoa; Chordata; Mammalia; Rodentia; Sciuridae.